Non-coding RNA from Paramuricea clavata, 311 nucleotides. The record is from the annotation of a GenBank genome assembly. NCBI's taxonomy places the organism in Eukaryota, Metazoa, Cnidaria, Anthozoa, Malacalcyonacea, Plexauridae.
GGCAAUGAAACGAUCGAAAGAGUUACAAAAUUCAAGCUCCUUGGGGUCACAAUGCAGAAUAACCUUAAAUGGAAAUCACAUGUACAAGAUAUCGUUACGAAGGCAAGUAAAAUAAUUUAUUUCGUGAGGCCGGCCUGCAGGAAAGCAAAUCUCCCGAGAAAUAUAGGACUUACAACUUACUGCACAAAGAUAAGGCCCAUUCUGGAAUACGUGGCACCAAUUUGAGCUGGCUUACCACUCUACCUGAAGGAAGAUAUCGAAAGAGUACAAAAUCGAUGUCUAGACAUUAUUGGUCUACCGAGGAAUACUAU